This 302-nucleotide ribosomal RNA is filed under the name uncultured bacterium. RNAcentral describes it as "partial 16S ribosomal RNA". It matches the Rfam family "Bacterial small subunit ribosomal RNA", at positions 508 to 807 of the family's 1533-position model. The record is from RNAcentral.
GCAGUAGCCGCGGUAAUACGUAGGGUGCGAGCGUUAAUCGGAAUUACUGGGCGUAAAGCGUGCGCAGGCGGUUUUGUAAGACAGGCGUGAAAUCCCCGGGCUCAACCUGGGAAUGGCGCUUGUGACUGCAAAGCUAGAGUGCGGCAGAGGGGGAUGGAAUUCCGCGUGUAGCAGUGAAAUGCGUAGAUAUGCGGAGGAACACCGAUGGCGAAAGCACUCUGCUGGGCCGACACUGACACUGAGAGACGAAAGCUAGGGGAGCAAAUGGGAUUAGAUACCCCCGUAGUCCCUGUCUCUUAUAC